CUCUCUCUCUCUUUGAAAGUAUGAACCUAUAAAUAAACAAGAGCUACAUCAAUCUCAUUAGAUACGACCAAGCUACAUUGCAUUUUCAGCCAGAGAAAGGGGAAGCGAUAUCACCAGAGUGCUUUGCUUGAUUAAGAGACACAGAGAAGAGAAGAGAAAGAGAUGCCGCCACCUGGACCGGGAGGCCCACCGGGCUUUGGUUGCUUAGGCGCCCUCUGUAGCGGUAUAUGCCGCCUUUUAUCAUCUUGUGCUUAUGUCCUGUGCUGCUGCUGCCUGUUUGAGAGCUGCUGUGGACCCAUGUUUGGUGGGGGAUUUGGCGGUCCUGGUGGGCCCGGUGGUGGACCUGGUGGACCCGGUGGUGGACCUGGCGGGCCCCCUCGCUUUUGAAUAUGAGCUGGCUGCUGCUGCUGCCUGUGAUCUUCUGCAUAAUGUUGAGUUUCAAGUUUAACAAGAUGUUGGCAUGUUGCUGCUGUUUUUGCAACCUGCAACUCAAUAUUCUCCCUAUUUUAGCCCAUAUUUGUGUUUAUUUUGCAAUUUAUUUUUCAUUUGUUUUUUGUUUUUUGAGCAGAAUUAAUUAGUAUUAAUAUUAUAUAUUUUGUAACCUUUGUUUACCAGAUGAUCCACCAUCCAUGACAAUUAAAUAAAAUCUCUUCCUUUUUUUCCCCA
This is a long non-coding RNA of Prunus dulcis (almond), 666 nucleotides long. RefSeq lists it as uncharacterized. NCBI's taxonomy places the organism in Eukaryota, Viridiplantae, Streptophyta, Magnoliopsida, Rosales, Rosaceae. The record is from RefSeq and is a predicted model, not a curated record. The transcript has 2 exons.